GGGCCAGUCAAGGUUUCGACGGGGUUUUGGAAUCUGGAGAAGCAAGCCGUUGUGACACGUUAAUCACACAAUAAAAUUAAACGCUAACGAUAAUUUAGCAUACGCUGCCUAGUUGCAGCUGUCUGACUUAGGGCACUCACACCUUAAGAACCAGGCAUCGACUAUGUGAGAAACGACAUAUGCAAAGCUUUGAGCAUAUGGGCGUAUUAUGAAGCUACUAAAGGUGGCCAGGUGCUUACCACUGACCGCUGGAGGGAAUGUUAAUCGAUAAGCUAAGCUUGUAGAAGUACGGUGGAAGGGGCUUCGGACACGGGUUCGACUCCCGUCUGGUCCAUAA
This 337-nucleotide transfer-messenger RNA is filed under the name Lachnospiraceae. RNAcentral's name for it is "UBA1712 sp018064805 Standard tmRNA". It matches the Rfam family "transfer-messenger RNA". Rfam says of the family: Bacterial tmRNA, also known as 10Sa RNA or SsrA, is named for its dual tRNA and mRNA-like properties. Its role is to liberate the mRNA from a stalled ribosome. To accomplish this part of the tmRNA is used as a reading frame that ends in a translation stop signal. RNAcentral also lists the same sequence under 1 other name. Lineage: Bacteria; Bacillati; Bacillota; Clostridia; Lachnospirales. The record is from RNAcentral.